UACGUAGGGGGCAAGCGUUGUCCGGAUUUAUUGGGCGUAAAGAGCUCGUAGGUGGUUUGGUAAGUCGGAUGUGAAAUCUCCAGGCUCAACCUGGAGGGGUCAUUCGAUACUGCCAUGACUAGAGGUCGGUAGGGGAGUGUGGAAUUCCCGGUGUAGCGGUGAAAUGCGCAGAUAUCGGGAGGAACACCAGCGGCGAAGGCGGCACUCUGGGCUGGAACUGACGCUGAGGAGCGAAAGCGUGGGUAGCAAACAGG
Molecule: ribosomal RNA, 254 nt
Filed under: uncultured bacterium
Lineage: Bacteria
Description: partial 16S ribosomal RNA
Rfam family: Bacterial small subunit ribosomal RNA
Source: RNAcentral